Molecule: long non-coding RNA, 952 nt
Filed under: Homo sapiens (human)
Lineage: Eukaryota; Metazoa; Chordata; Mammalia; Primates; Hominidae
Description: HSALNT0317548
Source: RNAcentral
GAACAGACAUGAUCAUGCCUGGAGAACAGGGAUGGACAGUCCCGCUUCUGAAAGACCCUGUCUGGCUGAUGAUUCAUGGUGCGCCGGGCAGACCCCAGGCCAAGAGACCCCACCCACAGUACCUGAGUGCUCAGCUGGGAACCAGACCAGACCUCAAAACAGGUUCCCAAGGUUACCACCCAACCCUGCCAACUUUCGCACCCCGCAAGGAGCAAGACCCCGCCCGCUCACCACCUGCCUGUGCAGCCAACGGGCCUCGCUGAGCUGCCCUGGGCCGCUCCCUCCAUUCACACAGUUGGCCCUCCCUCUCCCUGCCUCCCUUCGCCUACCCCACGAACUACUUCAUCCCUCUGGGCCGGCACUGUAGAAGCCCCAUUGUUCACAUCGACCUCCCAAUUAUCUCCUCUUUCCCUCUCCCUCUGCUCCUGCCCAGACCAGCCCCCCAGCAUUGACCUGGAUGCCUGCCACAGCCUCCUCCCUGGUCUCCGGCCUCCCACCUCUGCUCCUCGGUCUCCUCUACCCAGCCAGUAACUGCAGAGAGCACUAAAGCACAGUCCUGGCAUCUCACCCCCUUAACCCUGGCCACGGCUUCCCAGUGCCUCCAAGAUAAAGCACCAACACCUGAGGACAGCAGCUUGUUUUGAGAGUCCCCUCCAUUGAAACACGCACAUCUAAUUUGUCCUUCAGUUCGCUGGACUCCACGCUGAACGUGCCAUGCUCCAUUGCCCCGUGGGGCCACCCGCAGACUGUAACCGGCUGGUUCAAGAUCAAGGACUUCCCCAGGCCACCUGCCUCAGAGGCAAGAAAGGCUCAGCUGAGUCCCAGACACUCCUCGCUGUGGCCCCUCCUUCCUCCCUGCUGGGCAGGCCCCCCUCAAUUCUGUUUGCCAGCAGGGCCUAGUAACACUGAAAGACGAAAAGGGAAAUAAAAUAAACACAAUUAAUAGGCUAAA